This 253-nucleotide ribosomal RNA is filed under the name uncultured bacterium. RNAcentral's name for it is "partial 16S ribosomal RNA". It matches the Rfam family "Bacterial small subunit ribosomal RNA", at positions 524 to 776 of the family's 1533-position model. The record is from RNAcentral.
UACAGAGGGUGCGAGCGUUAAUCGGAAUUACUGGGCGUAAAGCGUGCGUAGACGGCUAUCUAAGUCGGGUGUGAAAGCCCCGGGCUCAACCUGGGAAUUGCAUUCGAGACUGAAUAGCUAGGGUGCGGUAGAGGGAAGCGGAAUUUCCGGUGUAGCGGUGAAAUGCGUAGAUAUCGGGAGGAACACCAAUGGCGAAGGCAGCUCGCUGGGACGUUACUGACGCUGAGACGCGAAAGCGUGGGGAGCAAACAGG